RNAcentral lists this long non-coding RNA (509 nucleotides) under Rattus norvegicus (Norway rat). RNAcentral's name for it is "long non-coding RNA NONRATT029999". Lineage: Eukaryota; Metazoa; Chordata; Mammalia; Rodentia; Muridae. The record is from RNAcentral.
AGACAUCUAUAAAACAUUUCAUCCUAAAACAAGAGAAUAUAGCUUCUUCUCAGGACCUCACUGUACCUUCUCAAAAAUUGAUCAUAUAAUUGGUCACAAAGCAGGCCUCAAUAGAUAGAAGAAGAUAGAAAUAAUCCCAUGCAUCCUGUCAGAUCACCAUGGACUAAGGCUGGUCUCCAGUAAUAACAGAAAGCCCACAUACACGUGGAAGCUGAACAACGCUCUACUCAACGACAACAUAGUCAAGGAAGAAAUAAAGAAAGAAAUUUUAGAAUUUAAUGAAAAUGAAGGCACAACAUACCCAAACUUCUGGGACACAAUGAAAGCAGUGCUAAGAAGAAAACUGAUAGCUCUGAGUGCCUCCAAAAAGAUAUUGGAGAGAGCAUACAGUAACAGCUUGACAUCACACCUGAAAGCUCUAGAACAAAAGGUAGGAAAUUCUCCCAAGAGGACUAGACUGUAGGAAAUAAUCAAAUUCAGGGCUGAAAUCAACCAAGUAGAAACAAAAA